RNAcentral lists this ribosomal RNA (243 nucleotides) under uncultured bacterium. RNAcentral's name for it is "partial 16S ribosomal RNA". It matches the Rfam family "Bacterial small subunit ribosomal RNA", at positions 15 to 252 of the family's 1533-position model. The record is from RNAcentral.
GAUCAUGGCUCAGGACGAACGCUGGCGGCGCGCCUAACACAUGCAAGUCGAACGGAGAAAUGCUGAGCUUGCUUUGCAUUUCUUAGUGGCGGACGGGUGAGUAACACGUGAGCAACCUGCCUUUGUGAGGGGAAUAACGUCUGGAAACGGACGCUAAUACCGCAUAACGUCAAGGAACCGCAUGGUUUUUUGACCAAAGAUUUUAUCGCACAAAGAUGGGCUCGCGGCUGAUUAGCUAGUUGG